RNAcentral lists this ribosomal RNA (637 nucleotides) under uncultured fungus. RNAcentral's name for it is "eukaryotic LSU rRNA". It matches the Rfam family "Eukaryotic large subunit ribosomal RNA", at positions 24 to 664 of the family's 3401-position model. The record is from RNAcentral. Lineage: Eukaryota; Fungi.
CCCGCUGAACUUAAGCAUAUCAAUAAGCGGAGGAAAAGAAACUAACAAGGAUUCCCUUAGUAACGGCGAGUGAAGAGGGAACAGCUCAAAUUUGAAAUCUGAUGGCCUACGGCUAUCCGAGUUGUAAUCUAGAGAAGUGUUUUCCGCGCUGGACCGUGUACAAGUCCUUUGGAACAAGGCGUCAUAGAGGGUGAGAAUCCCGUCUACGACACGGACUACCAGUGCUUUGUGAUACACUCUCAACGAGUCGAGUUGUUUGGGAAUGCAGCUCAAAAUGGGUGGUAAAUUCCAUCUAAAGCUAAAUACAGGCGAAAGACCGAUAGCGAACAAGUACCGUGAGGGAAAGAUGAAAAGCACUUUGGAAAGAGAGUUAAACAGUACGUGAAAUUGCUGAAAGGGAAACGCUUGAAGUCAGUCACGUUGGCUAGAAAUCAGCCUUGCUCUUGCUUGGUGUACUUUCUGGUUGAUGGGUCAGCAUCAAUUUUGACCAUUGGAUAAAGGUCAUUGGGAAUACUCCCUGUGUCGUAAUACAGUGGUUGGGAUUGAGGAAUUCAGCACGCCGCAAGGCAGGGUUUCGACCACAUUCGUGCUUAGGAUGCUGGCAUAAUGGCUUUAAUCGACCCGUCUUGAAACACGG